Long non-coding RNA from Mastomys coucha (southern multimammate mouse), 714 nucleotides. RefSeq lists it as uncharacterized. Lineage: Eukaryota; Metazoa; Chordata; Mammalia; Rodentia; Muridae. The transcript has 4 exons. The record is from RefSeq and is a predicted model, not a curated record.
CCUGGCUCACAGAGACUUCUUAUGCCUUCUUUAAGUAAAGACGGCUUAGAGUAUUGAGAACCAAUAUGUGUAUAUGGCUUCCUGGGUAUGGGCAUGAGAAAUUGUUCCUGUUAGAAGCAUUGGGAGUGAAGCUGAGAGUGCACAGUAUCAAUAUGUAGUGAUGCAUAGAGGCUCGGAUAAGAUGGAAGAAGAAGCUGUAAAGUUACCCACCUCCUCUGUUCUUCUUUUCAAACCUGACUAGGGACAGGACAAGCGGAAGAUGAAGAGAGAUUUUAUGGCUCUGUUUCCUCCUUUCCUGCUGACAAGAUGUCUUUCUCCAUUGGUUGGAGAAAGAAGAUAUUCUGUAGGACCACAGCCUCCUGAAGCCUCCAAUAAUGCAGUGAAGGAGUGUUUAAUUUUGAACUGGAUUGCCACCAUGGACUGGAAUGCUGCGCCAGAUUGGACUAACACUCCAGUCUGAAACACUGCACCAGACUGGAAUGCCACACCGGACUGGACCACCACUCUGAACUGGAACACCACACUAGACUGAGACACCACACCAGAUUGGAACACCGCACUGGACUGGAACACUGCACGGGACUGAAACUCUCGCACAGAAUGGGAACACCUCACCAGUUUCAAGACUACUAUUCAGAUGUCACCGUUUCACAUACUGCUGCUCUGUAUAAAAAAUCAAAACCAACAAAUGAACAAAAAUAAUGAAAGGCAAAA